RNAcentral lists this ribosomal RNA (987 nucleotides) under Limosilactobacillus fermentum. RNAcentral describes it as "bacterial SSU rRNA". It matches the Rfam family "Bacterial small subunit ribosomal RNA", at positions 48 to 991 of the family's 1533-position model. The record is from RNAcentral. Lineage: Bacteria; Bacillati; Bacillota; Bacilli; Lactobacillales; Lactobacillaceae.
GCUAUACAUGCAAGUCGACGCGUUGGCCCAAUUGAUUGAUGGUGCUUGCACCUGAUUGAUUUUGGUCGCCAACGAGUGGCGGACGGGUGAGUAACACGUAGGUAACCUGCCCAGAAGCGGGGGACAACAUUUGGAAACAGAUGCUAAUACCGCAUAACAACGUUGUUCGCAUGAACAACGCUUAAAAGAUGGCUUCUCGCUAUCACUUCUGGAUGGACCUGCGGUGCAUUAGCUUGUUGGUGGGGUAACGGCCUACCAAGGCGAUGAUGCAUAGCCGAGUUGAGAGACUGAUCGGCCACAAUGGGACUGAGACACGGCCCAUACUCCUACGGGAGGCAGCAGUAGGGAAUCUUCCACAAUGGGCGCAAGCCUGAUGGAGCAACACCGCGUGAGUGAAGAAGGGUUUCGGCUCGUAAAGCUCUGUUGUUAAAGAAGAACACGUAUGAGAGUAACUGUUCAUACGUUGACGGUAUUUAACCAGAAAGUCACGGCUAACUACGUGCCAGCAGCCGCGGUAAUACGUAGGUGGCAAGCGUUAUCCGGAUUUAUUGGGCGUAAAGAGAGUGCAGGCGGUUUUCUAAGUCUGAUGUGAAAGCCUUCGGCUUAACCGGAGAAGUGCAUCGGAAACUGGAUAACUUGAGUGCAGAAGAGGGUAGUGGAACUCCAUGUGUAGCGGUGGAAUGCGUAGAUAUAUGGAAGAACACCAGUGGCGAAGGCGGCUAUCUGGUCUGCAACUGACGCUGAGACUCGAAAGCAUGGGUAGCGAACAUGAUUAGAUACCCUGGUAGUCCAUGCCGUAAACGAUGAGUGCUAGGUGUUGGAGGGUUUCCGCCCUUCAGUGCCGGAGCUAACGCAUUAAGCACUCCGCCUGGGGAGUACGACCGCAAGGUUGAAACUCAAAGGAAUUGACGGGGGCCCGCACAAGCGGUGGAGCAUGUGGUUUAAUUCGAAGCUACGCGAAGAACCUUACCAGGUCUUGACAUCUUG